This is a microRNA precursor of Aotus nancymaae (Ma's night monkey), 83 nucleotides long. The record is from Ensembl. NCBI's taxonomy places the organism in Eukaryota, Metazoa, Chordata, Mammalia, Primates, Aotidae.
UUAGGUUGGUGCAAAAGUUAUUGCAGUUUUUGCCAUUACUUUCAAUAGCAAAAACUGCAGUUACUUUUGAACCAACCUAAUAC